Molecule: ribosomal RNA, 439 nt
Filed under: uncultured bacterium
Lineage: Bacteria
Description: partial 16S ribosomal RNA
Rfam family: Bacterial small subunit ribosomal RNA
Source: RNAcentral
CCUACGGGUGGCAGCAGUGGGGAAUAUUGCACAAUGGGGGAAACCCUGAUGCAGCGACGCCGCGUGAAGGAAGAAGUAUUUCGGUAUGUAAACUUCUAUCAGCAGGGAAGAAAAUGACGGUACCUGACUAAGAAGCCCCGGCUAACUACGUGCCAGCAGCCGCGGUAAUACGUAGGGGGCAAGCGUUAUCCGGAUUUACUGGGUGUAAAGGGAGCGUAGGCGGUUUAGCAAGUCAGAAGUGAAAGGCGGGGGCUCAACCCCCGGACUGCUCUGGAAACUGUACGGCUGGAGUGCAGGAGAGGUAAGUGGAAUUCCUAGUGUAGCGGUGAAAUGCGUAGAUAUUAGGAGGAACACCAGUGGCGAAGGCGGCUUACUGGACUGUAACUGACGUUGAGGCUCGAAAGCGUGGGGAGCAAACAGGAUUAGAUACCCGGGUAGU